Long non-coding RNA from Vespa mandarinia (Asian giant hornet), 2747 nucleotides. RefSeq lists it as uncharacterized. NCBI's taxonomy places the organism in Eukaryota, Metazoa, Arthropoda, Insecta, Hymenoptera, Vespidae. The record is from RefSeq and is a predicted model, not a curated record.
GUCGCUCCCAUCGCUCUUUCGUCUUGUCAGCUUUACCAUGUCACAUGAGCCACGUUGAUCCUCGUAUGAUCCCUGUAGCUCGAGCGUGCUUCUAACGGACUCUGCGACAUUUCAUUAAUUUUCGACAUCGUCAGAGAUGCGAUAGGUAAUAGGAACAAUUAAUACUAGGAAGGAACGGCAUUGUUGGUGUCCUUGUGACUCCAGCAGACUUUAUUUCUACCAGGAACUGCAUACCGUUGCAAACAUAUUUCUUUCUAACAGGUUAUGGUAUAAUAAUUCAAAUUAAAAUAUUGGUCUUUACCAUGCAUAAUAAAUAUUUACCGUUAAUAGCUAUCUCAAUGUAAUUCGUGCAUUCAUAGAUAUUUAUUCAUUCUAUCAAUUGAAUUAACUACAUUAAUUGUUAUGUUCAUUAGGUCAAUCGACGUUAUCAAAUUAACGAUAUUUCUUACGUUAUCAGUAAAUCAAGCUUAUAAUUGUACAAUUAUACAUAUACAGGUGUUUUAACGUUCAAUAUUUCUAUACCAUUUUGCUUUCCGCUCGAUCGAAACACACACACACACAUCUCUCAUUUAAAAAUACAAUUUUAAUCCAUUUAAUAAAAUAAUCUUUUACAGAUAGAGGAUACUUCGGUCCGUCGUAACUUGAUGAUAAACGUUUGUCCCGUUGAUACUCGAUUCCAGAAAUCUUUUUCCAUUCGAUAUUCAUUGAAGACUUAUACAUUGGUUUUUAUUUCGAACUUUGUAGUGAUUGCCACUGUCACUUGAUAUCAUUAAUGAGAUAUUUAUAAUAUUAUUUUAUUUUAUUUUUUUAUUUUUUUUUUUUUAAUUUUUUAAGGAUCUCUUCUCUUUCUAUUUUAUCUUCGGAAGUUUAAAGUGCCCGUUUCGAUCGUUCGUGCUGACUCUCUCUUAACUUCACUUUCAUGUCAAUUGCGUUGGCUCCGUCUUGCACCGUAUUAAAGCGUUAAGCAUUACUUCAGUUUGCAUUAUAAAGAUUAAUCAUUCGCCGUGGAAUAAUCGUUUUAUCAUGUGUCUUUUUGAUAAAGGAUUUCUAAAUAUAUUUUGAUGAUUAUGUCAAGUGAUACAACCUGCGUAUGUACAGAUAUACAUACACGGUAUUAGGCUUCGAUAGAAAUUUUGUUGAGAAAUUUGUUGUGCGUCAAAACGUAAACUUACAUAGUCCUCCUACCUUGGAGGUCUUGACGUAGAUCGCUGCAGCUUUUCCCGGCUUUAGCAUUAGUCUGACCAAUGUUUGAUCGAUGACGCAUGGACGACGAAGUCGUAGAGCUAACUACAGGACCUGGUCCAGGACUAGGUGUACGCGACGCAGGUGGCAGACCCAGAAGGGAAUCAAGGACAUCCUCUAGAGUCGUCGACCCGGGGCUUGGUUUGUUUCGCGGUACAGCCGAUGUCAUCGUCAUCUCGAUCAUGUCACCCUGUCCCGAAUCUAAUCGAUUUUAUUGAAAGAAAAGAAAAAAAAAUAGAAAUAGGCACAAGAUCACUCUCUUAGAAGAAGUGAAUAUUUUUACUUAUGGUAUCUCACUUUGUAUUCCCAUAAUGUUAUUGAACUCUUCAUUUAAUCAUCGUAUAUCAUGAAUAAUAUGCGAGAACAUUAUUGUGGGAUUAUCGCGUUUAUCAGUUCAAGCGAGCUGUAUAAUGAACACCGAGUAUUAUUAUAAAUUAGAAAUAGAAGAACAAGAAGAACACGAUCAAAAGCGGCAUGCGCGCGAAUACGGUUUUAGAGAAAACUUUCUUUAUUAUAUAUUAUACUUAAGAAAACGACAAAGUUUUCGUCACGAUUUGCCCGUACGAAUGAAAUUUUUAUAUGAGAUCGAUUUGCACGAGCUUUAUAUGUAGUAAAAAUAGGAAUUUACAUAGGGAAGUGCGCCAGUUGUGUGGCAUGCUACGUAUAUGGAUCGUUUUAUGAAAAAUCACAAGAAAGACAAACGGUAAAAAAACAAUUACAGAUAUCUGUGACUAGCUGUAGCUGCCAACUUUCUUUUCUUUUCUUUUUUUUUUUUCCUUUAUUUUUUCCUUUUAUGUAAAAACUGCAAUGGCUGGUAAAGUCACGAUAGGAAACUAUUGAAGUUUUCAACGUAUCGAAAAUGAGGGUUACUGUGUGAACGUUAUAAAAAAAAAAUUAUCUCGUCUUACGGUUAAUGAAUAUAGGACAUCCAACCUUCUUCGUGUCAUUGCGCAUUCACGGCUUGGCUAUUAUAAUGUCGUUGAAGUAUUUUAUCGUAGAUCGCGAGCUAAAGCCACCGAUAGAAUUAUGCACAUAUAUCAUCUGACCGUGAUUCCGUUUGGGAGCCACGCUGUCGUCUACUAGCCUUGACCUAGAGCUAGACCGAAGUAUGAUCGAAUUGUAGAGAAUUGUUGGACUACGAUAGCUUGUCAAAAGUGGAGAGCUCGUAAAACUUUACUUUGCUUUACGUAAGCAAUUUCAUUUCUUAGUUUUCUUGUUGUUUUUCUCUUUCUUUUUCUUCUUGCACACUUAACGUCUUUUGUAUAGAACCAACGUGCUAUUAUAUUCUACUUUAUGUGAGAAUAAGAAAAAAUGAAAAAAUAAAAAAAAAAGAGAGAAAGAGAGUAAUAAAAAGAAAGAAAGAAAGAAAGAAAAAAAAACAAACAAAAAAAGAAUAUAACAAACACGAUCUCUGAAUACCUAAAACAAAAAGCAUAUAGCGAAAAAUGAUAACAAGCCAAUUAUAAUAACACAAAAUUUGUCACUUACCGUGGCAUGAAUAAUAA